This 204-nucleotide unclassified non-coding RNA is filed under the name Hevea brasiliensis (rubber tree). The record is from RNAcentral. Lineage: Eukaryota; Viridiplantae; Streptophyta; Magnoliopsida; Malpighiales; Euphorbiaceae.
AAAAUGGUAACUUGUGUGUGAAAUCUCGGCUUUCUGAUGGAUAAUCAUUAUACUCAUCAGGAAUAUUUAUCUAGUUGCCAUUUACCAGUUUCCAAUAUUGAUUUGGUGAGCUUUAUCCAAGUUUUAGAUCAGUGUUGGCUAUUUAAGUAAUUGGUUCAUGAGUGUUUCUUUCUCUUACUUUGGGUUUGAAACUUACUGGAUUUU